Molecule: ribosomal RNA, 468 nt
Filed under: uncultured bacterium
Lineage: Bacteria
Description: partial 16S ribosomal RNA
Rfam family: Bacterial small subunit ribosomal RNA
Source: RNAcentral
GACGAACGCUGGCGGCGUGCUUAACACAUGCAAGUCGAACGGAAAGGCCCUGCUUUUGUGGGGUGCUCGAGUGGCGAACGGGUGAGUAACACGUGAGUAACCUGCCCUUGACUUUGGGAUAACUUCAGGAAACUGGGGCUAAUACCGGAUAGGAGCUCCUGCUUCAUGGUGGGGGUUGGAAAGUUUCGGCGGUUGGGGUUGGACUCGCGGCUUAUCAGCUUGUUGGUGGGGUAGUGGCUUACCAAGGCUUUGACGGGUAGCCGGCCUGAGAGGGUGACCGGCCACAUUGGGACUGAGAUACGGCCCAGACUCCUACGGGAGGCAGCAGUGGGGAAUAUUGCACAAUGGGCGGAAGCCUGAUGCAGCAACGCCGCGUGCGGGAUGACGGCCUUCGGGUUGUAAACCGCUUUCGCCUGUGACGAAGCGUGAGUGACGGUAAUGGGUAAAGAAGCACCGGCUAACUACGUG